AGUGAACGCUGGCGGUAGGCCUAACACAUGCAAGUCGAACGGCAGCACAGUAAGAGCUUGCUCUUACGGGUGGCGAGUGGCGGACGGGUGAGGAAUACAUCGGAAUCUACUUUUUCGUGGGGGAUAACGUAGGGAAACUUACGCUAAUACCGCAUACGACCUACGGGUGAAAGCAGGGGAUCUUCGGACCUUGCGCGAUUGAAUGAGCCGAUGUCGGAUUAGCUAGUUGGCGGGGUAAAGGCCCACCAAGGCGACGAUCCGUAGCUGGUCUGAGAGGAUGAUCAGGCACACUGGAACUGAGACACGGUCCAGACUCCUACGGGAGUCAGCAGUGGGGAAUAUUGGACAAUGGGCUCAAGCCUGAGCCAGCCAUACCGCGUGGGUGAAGAAGGCCUUCGGGUUGUAAAGCCCUUUUGUUGGGAAAGAAAAGCAGCAGGUUAAUACCCCGCUGUUCUGACGGUACCCAAGGAAUAGGCACCGGCUAACUUCGUG
Molecule: ribosomal RNA, 492 nt
Filed under: uncultured bacterium
Lineage: Bacteria
Description: partial 16S ribosomal RNA
Rfam family: Bacterial small subunit ribosomal RNA
Source: RNAcentral